GCCCCGGUGGUGAAACGGACAUCAUGCCUCGCUUCUAACGAGGGCGUUCCGGGUUCAAAUCCUGGUCGGGGUA
This 73-nucleotide transfer RNA is filed under the name Planctomycetota bacterium. Its description in RNAcentral is "Planctomycetes bacterium (rhizosphere metagenome) tRNA-Arg". It matches the Rfam family "tRNA". Rfam says of the family: Transfer RNA (tRNA) molecules are approximately 80 nucleotides in length. Their secondary structure includes four short double-helical elements and three loops (D, anti-codon, and T loops). Further hydrogen bonds mediate the characteristic L-shaped molecular structure. tRNAs have two regions of fundamental functional importance: the anti-codon, which is responsible for specific mRNA codon recognition, and the 3' end, to which the tRNAs corresponding amino acid is attached (by aminoacyl-tRNA synthetases). tRNAs cope with the degeneracy of the genetic code in two manners: having more than one tRNA (with a specific anti-codon) for a particular amino acid; and 'wobble' base-pairing, i.e. permitting non-standard base-pairing at the 3rd anti-codon position. The record is from RNAcentral. Lineage: Bacteria; Pseudomonadati; Planctomycetota.